GAUUUCCUUCUGCCACAUUGUUAGUGCUUAUUGUCAUAAAUAAUAAACAAACGACUGACAUCAGUACGAAGCCCUUCAUUUUGUGUUGUUGUUGUUUGGUAUAUAGACUAUGUAAAAAAGCUAUGUAUUUAUACUGUAUCCUAUGGUGACUGUCCUAAAUUAAAUGUGCAUCAUCUACUUUGGUCUUAAAAUACACAUGUCCGUGUCACCCUACACGUAGUUCCAUCAACCAAGAUUUAUUAUUUUUGUGUUUUAUGUGGUGUUGUUUAACAGGGAAG
Molecule: long non-coding RNA, 278 nt
Filed under: Mytilus galloprovincialis (Mediterranean mussel)
Lineage: Eukaryota; Metazoa; Mollusca; Bivalvia; Mytilida; Mytilidae
Source: RNAcentral